This 352-nucleotide unclassified non-coding RNA is filed under the name soil metagenome. Its description in RNAcentral is "partial contains 5.8S ribosomal RNA, internal transcribed spacer 2, and large subunit ribosomal RNA". The stretch from base 1 to 120 matches the Rfam family "5.8S ribosomal RNA", at positions 35 to 154 of the family's 154-position model. The record is from RNAcentral.
GAUGAAGAACGCAGCGAAAUGCGAUAAGUAAUGUGAAUUGCAGAAUUCAGUGAAUCAUCGAAUCUUUGAACGCACAUUGCGCCCGCCAGUAUUCGGGCGGGCAUGCCUGUUCGAGCGUCAUUACAACCCUCAGGCCCCCGGGCCUGGCGUUGGGGAUCGGCGGAGCCCCCCGUGGGCACACGCCGUCCCCCAAAUGCAGUGGCGGUCCCGCCGCAGCUUCCAUCGCGUAGUAGCUAACACCUCGCGACUGGAGAGCGGCGCGGCCACGCCGUAAAACACCCAACUCUUCUGAAGUUGACCUCGAAUCAGGUAGGAAUACCCGCUGAACUUAAGCAUAUCAAUAAGCGGAGGA